Molecule: long non-coding RNA, 2717 nt
Organism: Passer domesticus (house sparrow)
Lineage: Eukaryota; Metazoa; Chordata; Aves; Passeriformes; Passeridae
Exons: 3
Source: RefSeq, a predicted model, not a curated record
ACACAUGAAAGGCGGUGGGGGGGACGGGGGUGGGAACUUGCCUAUGGGGCAGGGAUAUGGGAAUGUGGGUAUGUGGAUGGGGUGUGGGAAUACGUGGCUGUUGGAUAAUAUUUUUUCUGAUUUAGAGAUAGGGUAACUGAGAGGUGUUUUAAAAUCUUUUAUUCCAUUUUCAGUCUCAUGAGAAGGGUGAGAUAUACAGAUGUUAUAAUUCAUGCUAUCACAAUCAGAAGCCAACUAUUUCCUAAUUACAAGACACUAUUAAGUGUUUCUUGGCCUAUCAGGUUUAGCCACACCAUGUUGUAGAUGCUUUAAAGCCAAUCAUCUAAAAUGACCCCUCGUGGGCCCCACUACAAUGCAUCUUUCAUAGUUCUAUUUCUCUGAAGUAUUUAGUCUUAUUUGCAAGGCCAUCUUUUGAAACUUGUUUCUAGCUGCAUUUCUCUCUCAAUAGUAUGUCUUAUUCUAUGGCAUUUCUAAGUCAGCAUUUCUUAUCUCAAAGUUUGCAUAUGGAUGCAUACAGUGUGGGCCUUCUGUCAGGCCCCAAAAACUCUAUAAAUCUAUUUCCCACACGUGGGAUAUGGCUACAGGGAUAUGGAAAUAUGAAGGGACAUGCUUAGAGGGAUGUGGUAUGGGAAUACAUGGGGAUAUGGCUGCAGGGGUGUAGUCUGUGACGAUGCAGGGACACUGCUGUGGGCCCAGGGCCAUCAGGGCCUGGUCUCCUGCCUCAGACUGGCCUGCAGAAACAUCCCAAAUGUCCUGGCUGAAGGGGCUGUAUCUAAUGCAUCACAGCACCAUAUGGGGAUCACUUGCACUGCAGAGAUCACAUAAGACAAAUUCCACCCCCAUGGACUGUUACAGACCAUGUGGGACCACAGGACAUCACAAGGACACAUUGAGGCUACUUGGACUGCAGGCUGUGGGCAAAAAGACCACAAAGACAUGAGACCACUUGGAAUGUGUGAAGAAGGAACCAGUAGGCACGGUGACUUGGGGCAAAUGCAGGACAAGUUUCAGGGGACGCAGUGAGGCACGCCACACACAACAAUUCCUCUCCAGGCCUGGGAAUCAAGGACACCUCACUACCUCAGGCCCUGAGAGAUGGAAACAAAAGUAGCUCCAAAAAGGCAUCAGCAUCUCCUUGGAGAACCUCCUUUCAGCCCCACAGCCCCCACUGCAGGCACCUCUGAGGCACCUCUUCCUUCUUUCUCCUUGCUGCUGAGUGCGAUGGUGUGCAGGUAUCAUGUGUGAGGCUCAGUUGUUGUCCAGGAUUAUACCAUAACAGAAGGCAAGUAAAAUUAGUCCUUCCCUUUAUAGGUGCAAUAAAACUGACCCUUCUCUUCCCUGCUUUUUCUCAUGUGCUGGGCUGAGAGGUGGACAGAGCAAGCUGAGGCACCUCCUGGGCUGUCUGGAGCAGUUUUGCAUGUCUGGAGCAAAGUCUUCCUUGUGGUUCUCGCUGGAUGUAGUACAGCCAGGACAAACAACAAUGUUCAGAGACGAGGGACAGGGAGGGAUCUAACUAGAUAUUUAUUCUCCAGCAUCUUGGCUCUCAGAAUUAAGGCAACAUUUGAAAAAUUGAAACUGAAAAUGAAGGGCAAAAAUAGGCAGAUCAUAAGAAAAGGAAGUAAAACCCAAAACAAGUCUGAUACUAUAAUUUUUUUUUUCUUUUUUGGAAAAUACAGGUUCACUGAAAAACCAAUAACACCUGCUUGUAAGAAAGAAUCACUUCUUAUUAUUCUGAACUGAUCUGAAACAACUCAGGUGGAAAAAACAUUUUCCUGGUGAUAUUUUCAAUAAUAUUUUACUGUUUUAUAAUUCAAGAUGAUGCUUUUAUUGCAGUAUUUGAAUUAAUGCAUAGUUUAAAGUGUGAAAAAUUGACCAAAAAAAGAAGAUAAAAAUAUAAUUUACAUAAAAUAUUUUUAAAAUGCGGCCUCUGGGGAGGGAGGCUGCAGCCCCCUGCAAGGUGCAGGGGUGGAGGAGACCUGGGAUGUUUGGGCAGAGAGUGAAAGAGACUGUGCUGGCUUGUAAUUUGAUAUCCUGUGCUGGCACCAUGGCCAGGAGAAGAAGGAGGGAGCAAGGUACCCGGCUUCGGGCAGACCGGGCUGAGGUUUUAACUCCGUUGGUACUGAGAUAAUGGAAGCUGUAAAAACACUGAUCCUCCCCGGCUGAGAAUUGAGAGGGGAUGGAGGAUGGGCAAAUGAGAAGAAGGCUUGAGUGGGUGAAGAAAUGCCAGCAGAUAAGAAGCGCCCUAGAUGGAGGAGAUGAUUUGGAGUGGCCUUUGGCUGGACUUCCCUCUUACAUGGCCACGGGACGGAACCAAUUUCUUCCUGUAAUGCAGAGACUGCACCUUGAGGGAGGCGGCUGGCCAGAAGCCAGGAGUGACAAAGCUGUUGUGAGAAGCAGAGGGAGCAGAGACUGAUGGGGAGGGUGUGCUGGAGCCCUCUGCCUUCAGUGAAGGAUCUCUGUUCAUGAGACCCCCAGGCCCCAGGGGUGAAAUAUGGGGGGGACAGGUGUCCCAAAUGGUGAGAGGCAGCCACUUCUUGGAACUGGGCAAGGCAUUCUUAAAAGGACCUAAGGAGCAGUUUGGAUCCAUGGGCAGUGGUGAAAGCACUGGACAUGGAGGGAAGAUGGUCACCACGGCAGAUUCUCUCCGCGCGGCUGCCACGUGUGACACGGAAGCACAGGAGGUUCCAACUGUGUUUCCUGGGGAGGCCCAUGGUGCA